UAAUGUCUGGGAAACUGCCUGAUGGAGGGGGAGUAACUACUGGAAACGGUAGCUAAUACCGCAUAACGUCGCAAGACCAAAGAGGGGGACCUUCGGGCCUCUUGCCAUCGGAUGUGCCCAGAUGGGAUUAGCUAGUAGGUGGGGUAACGGCUCACCUAGGCGACGAUCCCUAGCUGGUCUGAGAGGAUGACCAGCCACACUGGAACUGAGACACGGUCCAGACUCCUACGGGGGCAGCAUG
This 241-nucleotide ribosomal RNA is filed under the name uncultured bacterium. RNAcentral's name for it is "partial 16S ribosomal RNA". It matches the Rfam family "Bacterial small subunit ribosomal RNA", at positions 111 to 353 of the family's 1533-position model. The record is from RNAcentral.